RNAcentral lists this long non-coding RNA (309 nucleotides) under Rattus norvegicus (Norway rat). RNAcentral describes it as "long non-coding RNA NONRATT011676". Lineage: Eukaryota; Metazoa; Chordata; Mammalia; Rodentia; Muridae. The record is from RNAcentral.
CCACACACACAGACACACACAUACACACACCACACAGACACACAUACAUAUACACACACACACUCACACACAGACACACACACAGACACACAUACAUAUAUACACACACAUACUCACACACAGACACACACACAGACACACACACACAGACACACAUACAUACACACACAGAGACACACACACUCACAGACACACAUACAUAUACACACACACACACAGACACACACACACACAGACACACAGACACACACACACACACACACACACACACACACACACACAGACACACAUACAUAUAUACACACACAU